AUUGAACGCUGGCGGCAUGCUUUACACAUGCAAGUCGAACGGCAGCGCGGGCUUCGGCCUGGCGGCGCGUGGCGAACGGGCGAGUAAUGCAUCGGAACGUGCCCAGUAGUGGGGGAUAGCCCGGCGAAAGCCGGAUUAAUACCGCAUACGACCUGAGGGUGAAAGCGGGGGACCGACAGGCCUCGCGCUAUUGGAGCGGCCGAUGUCGGAUUAGCUAGUUGGUGGGGUAAAGGCUUACCAAGGCGACGAUCCGUAGCUGGUCUGAGAGGACGACCAGCCACACUGGGACUGAGACACGGCCCAGACUCCUACGGGAGGCAGCAGUGGGGAAUUUUGGACAAUGGGGGCAACCCUGAUCCAGCCAUGCCGCGUGCGGGAAGAAGGCCUUCGGGUUGUAAACCGCUUUUGUUCGGGAAGAAAUCCUCUGGGCUAAUACCCCGGGGGGAUGACGGUACCGGAAGAAUAAGCACCGGCUAACUACGUG
RNAcentral lists this ribosomal RNA (484 nucleotides) under uncultured bacterium. Its description in RNAcentral is "partial 16S ribosomal RNA". It matches the Rfam family "Bacterial small subunit ribosomal RNA", at positions 28 to 507 of the family's 1533-position model. The record is from RNAcentral.